GAGGGUGUAGCUCAGUGGUAGAGUGUGUGCUUAGCACGCACAAGGUUCUGGGUUCAAUCCCCAGUCCCUCU
This 71-nucleotide transfer RNA is filed under the name Camelus bactrianus (Bactrian camel). It matches the Rfam family "tRNA". From Rfam's summary of the family: Transfer RNA (tRNA) molecules are approximately 80 nucleotides in length. Their secondary structure includes four short double-helical elements and three loops (D, anti-codon, and T loops). The record is from Rfam by way of RNAcentral. RNAcentral also lists the same sequence under 2 other names. Lineage: Eukaryota; Metazoa; Chordata; Mammalia; Artiodactyla; Camelidae.